CUGGUUGAUCCUGCCAGAGGUCACUGCUAUCGGGGUUCGAUUAAGCCAUGCGAGUCGAGAGGGUUCAGACCCUCGGCGGACUGCUCAGUAACACGUGGAUAACCUGCCCUAAGGUGGAGCAUAACCCCGGGAAACUGGGGAUAAUACUCCAUAGGUUAGAGAUACUGAAUGUUCUUUAAUCAAAAGUUCCGGCGCCUUAGGAUGGAUCUGCGGCCGAUUAGGUAGUUGUUGGGGUAACGGCCCAACAAGCCUGUAAUCGGUACGGGUUGUGGGAGCAAGAGCCCGGAGAUGGAAUCUGAGACACGAUUCCAGGCCCUACGGGGCGCAGCAGGCGCGAAAACUUUACAAUGCAGGAAACUGUGAUAAGGGAACCCCGAGUGCCCGUAUACGCGGGCUGUCCGGGUGUAUAAAAAGCAUCUGAAGAAAGGGCCGGGCAAGACCGGUGCCAGCCGCCGCGGUAAUACCGGCGGCUCGAGUGGUGACCACUUUUAUUGGGCUUAAAGCGUUCGUAGCUGGACUCUUAAGUCUCUUGGGAAAUCCCGCGGCUCAACCGUGGGGCGUUUAAGAGAUACUGGGAGUCUAGGAACCGGGAGAGGUAAGAGGUACUUCGGGGGUAGAAGUGAAAUUCUGUAAUCCUCGAGGGACCACCGAUGGCGAAGGCAUCUUACCAGAACGGCUUCGACAGUGAGGAACGAAAGCUGGGGGAGCGAACGGGAUUAGAUACCCGGGUAGUCCCAGCCGUAAACGAUGCGCGUUAGGUGUGCCGGUGACCACGAGUCACUGGGGUGCCGAAGGGAAACCGUGAAACGUACCGCCUGGGAAGUACGGUCGCAAGGCUGAAACUUAAAGGAAUUGGCGGGGGAGCACCAC
RNAcentral lists this ribosomal RNA (870 nucleotides) under uncultured archaeon. RNAcentral describes it as "bacterial SSU rRNA". It matches the Rfam family "Archaeal small subunit ribosomal RNA", at positions 4 to 882 of the family's 1478-position model. The record is from RNAcentral.